This 460-nucleotide ribosomal RNA is filed under the name uncultured bacterium. RNAcentral describes it as "partial 16S ribosomal RNA". It matches the Rfam family "Bacterial small subunit ribosomal RNA", at positions 338 to 795 of the family's 1533-position model. The record is from RNAcentral.
CCUACGGGAGGCAGCAGUGAGGAAUAUUGGUCAAUGGACGAGAGCCUGAACCAGCCAAGUAGCGUGAAGGAUGACUGCCCUAUGGGUUGUAAACUUCUUUUAUAUGGGAAUAAAAUGUUCCACGUGUGGGAUUUUGUAUGUACCAUAUGAAUAAGGAUCGGCUAAUUCCGUGCCAGCAGCCGCGGUAAUACGGAGGAUCCGAGCGUUAUCCGGAUUUAUUGGGUUUAAAGGGAGCGUAGGUGGAUUGUUAAGUCAGUUGUGAAAGUUUGUGGCUCAACCGUGAAAUUGCAGUUGAAACUGGCAGUCUUGAGUACAGUAGAGGUGGGCGGAAUUCGUGGUGUAGCGGUGAAAUGCUUAGAUAUCACGAAGAACUCCGAUUGCGAAGGCAGCUCACUGGACUGCAACUGACACUGAGGCUCGAAAGUGUGGGUAUCAAACAGGAUUAGAUACCCGUGUAGUC